UACGGAGGGUGCAAGCGUUAAUCGGAAUUACUGGGCGUAAAGCGCACGCAGGCGGUCUGUCAAGUCGGAUGUGAAAUCCCCGGGCUCAACCUGGGAACUGCAUUCGAAACUGGCAGGCUAGAGUCUUGUAGAGGGGGGUAGAAUUCCAGGUGUAGCGGUGAAAUGCGUAGAGAUCUGGAGGAAUACCGGUGGCGAAGGCGGCCCCCUGGACAAAGACUGACGCUCAGGUGCGAAAGCGUGGGGAGCAAACAGGAUUAGAUACCCUGGUAGUCCACGCCGUAAACGAUGUCGAUUUGGAGGUUGUGACCUUGAGGCGUGGGUUCCGGAGCUAACGCGUUAAGUCGACCGCCUGGGGAGUACGGCCGCAAGGUUGAA
Molecule: ribosomal RNA, 375 nt
Filed under: uncultured bacterium
Lineage: Bacteria
Description: bacterial SSU rRNA
Rfam family: Bacterial small subunit ribosomal RNA
Source: RNAcentral